RNAcentral lists this small RNA (840 nucleotides) under Pan troglodytes (chimpanzee). RNAcentral describes it as "processed transcript". The record is from RNAcentral. Lineage: Eukaryota; Metazoa; Chordata; Mammalia; Primates; Hominidae.
GAACUCCAGGGCGUCUUCGCGGCCCUUCCGUGCCUCCAGCUCCACCUUCUUCUUCCAGCUAGUGCUCCUCCUGGGCCUGCUUCUGGCUGCAGUGCCCCUGGGCUAUGUGGUCAGCAGGUGAGGGGAAGAGGAGGGGGCACCCAGAGGCUGUCAGGGGCAGUUUCUCACCCAGGACCCUGACGCCAGCCCCUCUUGGCCAUCUCUCUCCAGCAUCCACUCCUCCUGGGACUGCGGCCUCUUCACCAACUACUCAGCACCCUGGCAAGUGGUCCCGGAGCUGGUGGCCCUUGGGCUCCCGCCCAUUGGCCAGCGUGCCCUCCACUACCUGGGCUCCCACGCCUUCAGCUUCCCCCUCCUCAUCAUGCUCAGCCUUGUCCUGACGGUGUGCAUCUCCCAGACCCAGGCCAAUGCCAGGGCCAUCCACAGGCUCCGGAAGCAGCUGGUGUGGGUUCAGGAGAAGUGGCACCUGGUGGAGGACCUGUCGCGACUGCUGCCGGAGCCAGGCCCGAGCGACUCUCCGGGCCCCAAGUACCCUGCCUCCCAAGCUUCGCGCCCGCAGUCCUUCUGCCCCGGAUUCCCAUGCCCUGGCUCCCGGGGCCCCCAGGCCCCGCGGCCGGGCCCCUCCGUCGUGGAUGCCGCGGGACUGCGUUCCUCUUGCCCUGGACAGCACGGUGCCCCGGCCUCCGCCCGCAGAUUCCGCUUCCCCAGCGGCGCGGAGCUGUAACCCCGACCCCUGCCUCCCCGAAGCCUCCCUGGGGCCCCUUCAGGUCUCCUUACUCCAUCUUCCAGACCCCUGGCGACCACCGCCCCUCUCAGUGCUCCAGGGCCUCCCUCAGAGGU